UAUGAAAGCUGAGAAAAUUAGGAUUCAGGGGACGUUUUAAACAUGUCUCUAAGUUACUCCUUAUAACCACGGAGAAAUGAAUCGAAACGCUUUAGGGAAAGGCGUGCAAGGAGACAUGUCCCAGGCAGUGUUCAAGCCUAACAGACCAAAGAAAACUCCAGCUCUUCACAGAGUUUUAUGCUGUCUCUUAUGAGAGGCAGCAGGCUAUCAUUCUCUCUGGUUUAGAGCAGCACAAGGUGAGUCGCAGACGACCACGUGGGCCCGACACUGAGAAUACUAAGAGGAAGUACACCUUCAAGUACCAUGUGCAACAAGGAGGCCAAAGACUUGCUGUUUGUAAGCUCACAUUUAUGUCAGUCUUUCAACUGACCAACAGUCGCCUACAGGCAAGUUUUAUACAGCCUAGCUUUUUCCAUUUGUUAACUUUUUAUUACAUGCAUGAUUUUAAUUAGAUACAUUGUCCAUAAAAUAUUUAUUUAAAGUUACUUAUCUUUGAAAAGGUUAUUCAAGAAAAGUUAGGCAGUCAGUCUGAGGGAACAGAGCAGGUAGUC
Carassius carassius (crucian carp) is the source of this 551-nucleotide long non-coding RNA. RefSeq lists it as uncharacterized. Lineage: Eukaryota; Metazoa; Chordata; Actinopteri; Cypriniformes; Cyprinidae. The record is from RefSeq and is a predicted model, not a curated record. The transcript has 3 exons.